This 429-nucleotide ribosomal RNA is filed under the name Chloroflexota bacterium. RNAcentral's name for it is "Chloroflexi bacterium partial 16S ribosomal RNA". It matches the Rfam family "Bacterial small subunit ribosomal RNA", at positions 355 to 776 of the family's 1533-position model. Lineage: Bacteria; Bacillati; Chloroflexota. The record is from RNAcentral.
UGGGGAAUAUUGCACAAUGGGCGCAAGCCUGAUGCAGCCAUGCUGCGUGUGUGAAGAAGGCCUUCGGGUUGUAAAGCACUUUCAGCGGGGAGGAAGGCGUUAAGGUUAAUAACCUUGGCGAUUGACGUUACCCGCAGAAGAAGCACCGGCUAACUCCGUGCCAGCAGCCGCGGUAAUACGGAGGGUGCAAGCGUUAAUCGGAAUUACUGGGCGUAAAGCGCACGAAGGCGGUCUGACAAGUCGGAUGGGAAAUCCCCGGGCUCAACCUGAGAACUGCAUUCAAAACGGGCAGGCUAGAGUCUUGUAGAGGGGGGUAGCAUUCCAGGUGUAGCGCUGAAGUGCGUAGAGAACUGGAAGACUACCGGUGGCGACAGCGGCCCCCUGAACAAAGACUGACGCUCAGGUGCGAAAGCGUGGGGAGCAAACAGG